This 461-nucleotide ribosomal RNA is filed under the name Saccharomyces cerevisiae (brewer's yeast). RNAcentral's name for it is "eukaryotic LSU rRNA". It matches the Rfam family "Eukaryotic large subunit ribosomal RNA", at positions 98 to 561 of the family's 3401-position model. Lineage: Eukaryota; Fungi; Ascomycota; Saccharomycetes; Saccharomycetales; Saccharomycetaceae. The record is from RNAcentral.
GCGGCAAAAGCUCAAAUUUGAAAUCUGGUACCUUCGGUGCCCGAGUUGUAAUUUGGAGAGGGCAACUUUGGGGCCGUUCCUUGUCUAUGUUCCUUGGAACAGGACGUCAUAGAGGGUGAGAAUCCCGUGUGGCGAGGAGUGCGGUUCUUUGUAAAGUGCCUUCGAAGAGUCGAGUUGUUUGGGAAUGCAGCUCUAAGUGGGUGGUAAAUUCCAUCUAAAGCUAAAUAUUGGCGAGAGACCGAUAGCGAACAAGUACAGUGAUGGAAAGAUGAAAAGAACUUUGAAAAGAGAGUGAAAAAGUACGUGAAAUUGUUGAAAGGGAAGGGCAUUUGAUCAGACAUGGUGUUUUGUGCCCUCUGCUCCUUGUGGGUAGGGGAAUCUCGCAUUUCACUGGGCCAGCAUCAGUUUUGGUGGCAGGAUAAAUCCAUAAGAAUGUAGCUUGCCUCGGUAAGUAUUAAAGC